This 2209-nucleotide long non-coding RNA is filed under the name Homo sapiens (human). Its description in RNAcentral is "uncharacterized LOC105374809, transcript variant 9 (LOC105374809)". Lineage: Eukaryota; Metazoa; Chordata; Mammalia; Primates; Hominidae. The record is from RNAcentral.
AGAAUGAAGAUGGCUUCCUGUCCCGCUAGCGUCACGUCGGGAUCUGCCUUCACCAAGGCCUUCACUCGCGCCAGAGGCAACCUCGAGAGACGAGCCCCAGGCACACUCGUUGGGGCCUGGGGCUGCGAGGCCGCUGCCUCCCCAGCAGGUAAAUAACAUCUUUGUGUGGCGUGUUGCAGCUGUCACAGCCGCCAGCAGACAGCCGACUCCCUCACCAGUAAACACCGCGGCUUAGGUGUUGCCCACCGGGCACCGGAAGGCGGCCCCCUUCUCGCUCUCCAGUGAAUGUUCCUAAAACAACUGCGGGGUCCAAGAGCACAGGGAGAACAGCGCCCCUGACGCAGGCUGCGCACCCGCCCGGAGGAGGCAGUGCGUCAGUCCUGAGGUCACCGCCACCCGCUCCCGGGGGACGGCCGCCUGGGCAGGUGAGGAGGCGACCACCUCCCAGACGCCUGCCGGAGCUGCGGCGCACCGACUCCCUGCUUCUCCGAGCGGCGAGCGCCACCUGGAGGCUCCCUCGAGAUCUGCAUUUAGGAGGCGACGGGUCCUUUCAUCGUUUUAUUCAUUAAACAUUUAUCGAGGCCUGGAGCGAUGGUUCAAGCCUGUAAUCCCAGCACUUUGGGAGACCGAGACGGGCGGAUCACUUGAGGUCAGGAGUUGGAGACCAGCCUGGCCAACAUGGCGAAACCCCAUCUCUACUAAAAAUACAAAAAUUAGCCGGGCACGGUGGCGCACACCUGUAAUCCCAGCUACUCAUGAUGAGGCUGAGGCACAAGAAUCGCUUGAACCCGAGAGGCGGAAGUUGCAGUGAGCGGAGAUGGAGCCACUGUGUGUUAGGCUCUGGCGACGUGGGGAGAAAUAAAGAUAAUGUCUUGUUUCCCAGGGCAUUAAUAGCGUGAUGGGGAAGACAGGCCAUCAACAAUGUGCAACACUAAGGGCUAGGAAAGAGGUGGAUACAAAGGAGGGAAUAAGGAAUGUGGUCAUUCCUUAAGGUGUUUAUUGGUGCCAGGUACUGUUCAAGGCACCAAAAAGAAUGGAACCAAACAGAGAUCCUGCUCCCAAAGAGCUCAUAGUGGAAGGACAGCCAGACAAGCUUAGAAUUACGGGACAGGCCUAAGAAGGAGCCAGACUGGGGACCAGAGGCGUCCGAAGGGAAGUCCAGGAAGUACCGCAGGAAAACGUGAUAUAUAUUAAAUCUUAAAGAAUGGGCAGGAUUUUGCCAGGCUUAGUGACAAGAUAUCUUCCGUAAAAUCGUGGAACUGAAAAGAAAGGAUAUAGGUUGAAGAAGGGCUAGUUCUGUGUCUGAAAUAGAAGGAACAUGAAAGAGAAGUGCUGGGACAUGGGGCAAAAAAGGGAGUUUGGGGCCAGAUCGUGAAAGCCUUGGUUUAACAGGUGAAAAGUUCAAAUUUGAUCCAGGUAGCUGGCAGAGUCAGAGGUUCUAAAGCAGAGACCUGCUCUAUAGAAAGCUCACCAUGAAGUACAGCAGUGAUGGUGGAUGAAGAUACCAACAGCUCAACCUCCUAUGUGCCAGGGAAAUGCUGAGCGCUUAGCACCUGAUAUUUAUCUUAAUUCUCUAAAUGGGCCUAUGGGGUAAGCAUAUUAUUAUCCCAAUUUUAUUGGAAUACUUCCCUGGUAGGGCCCCUAAACAGGUAGCCAUCAAAUGCCUGAUAAAUUCCAGCUAGCUUUAAAUUCUAGUCGCUACAGAGCAGAGCCCUUCCAUCGCACUGAGCUGAAGGAGCCAGAUGGGCAUUACAGACAAGACCCACUCAGUAGGUGAAAUCAACAGAGCCUAAUGACUAUCUAGAUCUGCAAGAUGAAGAAUAGGAAAGAGCUAAAGACAAGAUUAUGAUGAAAAGUUUGAUUUUGAAAUAAUACAUUUUUAAGAGCUGAGAAAAACCGUAUCCAUCAUCCAGAACAACCGCCUAUUCUACCCACACUCCCAGCACCACAUCAGUACACGUGUGCCUGUACUCACCAUUCUGCCUUGCCUCCUGCUGGCAUGGACGAGUGCUGCGUGUUCCUAAGUGCCACCUUCCGCUGUGCACUCGAUCCCAUCCUCGCGCCCACGCAAGAACAUCGCUUCAUCAAUUGGUCCUUCUCUCACAUAUGAAAUUUUUGGUCUUUCUACUGAGUCAUUCCCAUAAAUAUACAUGUGUACUACAAUUUCUCUCAUCGUAAAAAAUAAUAAAAAUAUUUCCUUGACCUCAAA